CCCUUAGAUGUUCUGGGCCGCACGCGCGCUACACUGGUCGAUGCAACGAGUUUCUUUCCUUGGCCGACAGGCCUGGGCAAUCUUUGAACAUCGAUCGUGAUCGGGAUAGAUUCUUGUAAUUUUUGAUCUUAAACGAGGAAUUCCUAGUAAACGCAAGUCAUCAGCUUGCAUUGAUUACGUCCCUGCCCUUUGUACACACCGCCCGCCGCACCUACCGAUUGAAUGGUCCGGUGAAAUCUCCGGACUGGCGUGAGUCGGAGCAAUCUGACAAACGCCGGAAAGUUGAUUAAACCUUACCAUUUAGAGGAAGGUGAAGUCGUAACA
Molecule: ribosomal RNA, 324 nt
Filed under: uncultured eukaryote
Lineage: Eukaryota
Description: partial 18S ribosomal RNA
Rfam family: Eukaryotic small subunit ribosomal RNA
Source: RNAcentral